Molecule: ribosomal RNA, 468 nt
Filed under: uncultured bacterium
Lineage: Bacteria
Description: partial 16S ribosomal RNA
Rfam family: Bacterial small subunit ribosomal RNA
Source: RNAcentral
GACGAACGCUGGCGGCGUGCUUAACACAUGCAAGUCGAACGGAAAGGCCCUGCUUUUGUGGGGUGCUCGAGUGGCGAACGGGUGAGUAACACGUGAGUAACCUGCCCUUGACUUUGGGGUAACAUCAGGAAACUGGGGCUAAUACCGGAUAGGAGCUCCUGCUGCAUGGUGGGGGUUGGAAAGUUUCGGCGGUUGGGGAUGGACACGCGGCUUAUCAGCUUGUUGGUGGGGUAGUGGCUUACCAAGGCUUUGACGGGUAGCCGGCCUGAGAGGGUGACCGGCCACAUUGGGACUGAGAUACGGCCCAGACUCCUACGGGAGGCAGCAGUGGGGAAUAUUGCACAAUGGGCGGAAGCCUGAUGCAGCAACGCCGCGUGCGGGAUGACGGCCUUCGGGUUGUAAACCGCUUUCGCCUGUGACGAAGCGUGAGUGACGGUAAUGGGUAAAGAAGCACCGGCUAACUACGUG